RNAcentral lists this ribosomal RNA (1322 nucleotides) under Salmonella enterica subsp. enterica serovar Mbandaka. RNAcentral's name for it is "partial 23S ribosomal RNA". It matches the Rfam family "Bacterial large subunit ribosomal RNA", at positions 587 to 1921 of the family's 2925-position model. Lineage: Bacteria; Pseudomonadati; Pseudomonadota; Gammaproteobacteria; Enterobacterales; Enterobacteriaceae. The record is from RNAcentral.
UAAUGGGUGAGAGCGUGCCUUUUGUAGAAUGAACCGGCGAGUUACGAUAUGAUGCGAGGUUAAGUUGAAGAGACGGAGCCGUAGGGAAACCGAGUCUUAAUAGGGCGAUUUAGUAUCAUGUUGUAGACCCGAAACCAUGUGACCUACCCAUGAGCAGGUUGAAGGUGAGGUAAAACUCACUGGAGGACCGAACCAGGGCACGUUGAAAAGUGCUUGGAUGACUUGUGGGUAGCGGAGAAAUUCCAAACGAACUUGGAGAUAGCUGGUUCUCUCCGAAAUAGCUUUAGGGCUAGCGUCGAUGUUAAGUCUCUUGGAGGUAGAGCACUGUUUGGGUGAGGGGUCCAUCUCGGAUUACCAAUCUCAGAUAAACUCCGAAUGCCAACGAGAUAUCAUCGGCAGUCAGACUGCGAGUGCUAAGAUCCGUAGUCGAAAGGGAAACAGCCCAGACCACCAGCUAAGGUCCCAAAAUAACUGUUAAGUGGAAAAGGAUGUGGGGUUGCACAGACAACUAGGAUGUUAGCUUAGAAGCAGCUAUUCAUUCAAAGAGUGCGUAAUAGCUCACUAGUCGAGUGACCCUGCGCCGAAAAUGUACCGGGGCUAAAACAGUUUACCGAAGCUGUGGAUGACACAAAAGUGUCAUGGUAGGAGAGCGUUCUAUGUGUGAAGAAGGUGUACCGUGAGGAGCGCUGGAACGCAUAGAAGUGAGAAUGCCGGUAUGAGUAGCGAAAGACAGGUGAGAAUCCUGUCCACCGUAAGACUAAGGUUUCCAGGGGAAGGCUCGUCCGCCCUGGGUUAGUCGGGACCUAAGGAGAGACCGAAAGGUGUAUCCGAUGGCCAACAGGUUGAUAUUCCUGUACUAGAGUAUAUAGUGAUGGAGGGACGCAGUAGGCUAACUAAACCGGACGAUUGGAAGAGUCCGGCUAAGCAGUGAGGUGUAAGAUGAGUCAAAUGCUUAUCUUUAUAACAUUGAGCUGUGAUGGGGAGCGAAUUUUAGUAGCGAAGUUAGUGAUGUCACACUGCCAAGAAAAGCUUCUAGCGUUUAAUGAUACUCUACCCGUACCGCAAACCGACACAGGUAGUCGAGGCGAGUAGCCUCAGGUGAUCGAGAGAACUCUCGUUAAGGAACUCGGCAAAAUGACCCCGUAACUUCGGGAGAAGGGGUGCUGACUUAGGUCAGCCGCAGUGAAUAGGCCCAAGCAACUGUUUAUCAAAAACACAGCUCUCUGCUAAAUCGUAAGAUGAUGUAUAGGGGGUGACGCCUGCCCGGUGCUGGAAGGUUAAGAGGAGGGUUUAGCGCAAGCGAAGAUCUGAAUUGAAGCCCC